UACGUAGGGUGCGAGCGUUAAUCGGAAUUACUGGGCGUAAAGCGUGCGCAGGCGGUGAUGUAAGACAGAUGUGAAAUCCCCGGGCUCAACCUGGGAACUGCAUUUGUGACUGCAUAGCUGGAGUACGGCAGAGGGGGAUGGAAUUCCGCGUGUAGCAGUGAAAUGCGUAGAUAUGCGGAGGAACACCGAUGGCGAAGGCAGUCCCCUGGGCCUGUACUGACGCUCAUGCACGAAAGCGUGGGGAGCAAACAGG
This 253-nucleotide ribosomal RNA is filed under the name uncultured bacterium. RNAcentral describes it as "partial 16S ribosomal RNA". It matches the Rfam family "Bacterial small subunit ribosomal RNA", at positions 524 to 776 of the family's 1533-position model. The record is from RNAcentral.